Molecule: ribosomal RNA, 301 nt
Filed under: uncultured bacterium
Lineage: Bacteria
Description: partial 16S ribosomal RNA
Rfam family: Bacterial small subunit ribosomal RNA
Source: RNAcentral
CAGCCGCCGCGGGAAUACGGAGGGAGCUAGCGUUGUUCGGAAUUACUGGGCGUAAAGCGCGCGUAGGCGGUUACUCAAGUCAGAGGUGAAAGCCCGGGGCUCAACCCCGGAACUGCCUUUGAAACUAGGUGACUAGAAUCUUGGAGAGGUCAGUGGAAUUCCGAGUGUAGAGGUGAAAUUCGUAGAUAUUCGGAAGAACACCAGUGGCGAAGGCGACUGACUGGACAAGUAUUGACGCUGAGGUGCGAAAGCGUGGGGAGCAAACAGGAUUAGAUACCCGCGUAGUCCCUGUCUCUUAUAA